Molecule: long non-coding RNA, 204 nt
Filed under: Lathyrus oleraceus (garden pea)
Lineage: Eukaryota; Viridiplantae; Streptophyta; Magnoliopsida; Fabales; Fabaceae
Description: Pisum sativum (pea) long non-coding RNA (PSAT_LNC012371)
Source: RNAcentral
UUCCUCACUUUUCUUAUGGAGUCUUGAGUUUUGUUUUACGUGCCUUAUGAACUCCUUGAAUUUUAUAAACAUGAGCUUCAUGAAUUUAUUAAUCUCACUUUGACAUUCUUCAUAUUUUGAUUCCCUAUCUUCGAUGUUAGUAGCUUUAAAAGAAAUACUUUUCCUUUUCUUCUUGUGGUCUUCUUCUUCAUCAUCAAGUAUUUU